UACCAUGGUGAUGGGUAUCACUAUAGCAACGCCCAGGCCCCCCGCCCAGCUCUACCAGCCGUGUGACGCGGAUGUGAGUUCACUUCCGGGGACGGCGACGGGAAGCGGCCGACGGGCUUAGCGUGCACCUGGGUGAGUUAAAUAAAGAGCCGGAUGAAAGGAGCACACCAACUCCAUCCUUUUGUUUAUUCCGGCAGAGGAGCAGUCAGCCAUCUAAUGAGUUUUAGUGGAAUGAGUCAUGGAUAGAGGCAAGCCAUUUGCGCAGAAUAAGCAUGCCACAAAAACACAAUUAAAGGAAGCACAAAAUGACGGUAGACAGGUACCCAUCCAUAGCAAAUGGCUCAGGAAGAUUAGGGGCCACGUCCGAACACUAAAUGCAUCUUGUUGAAAAGAAGGCCAACAAUAGAAGAGGUCCAAAGUGUGGCUUUUCCCGUCCUUCCAGACUCUCAACAGUGUUAGAAUCAAAAAGAUCUUCAAAUUCAGUGAGCAAAUGGAGAGCUGGGAGACUGAAGUGAUACAACACUGAAAAACGCAUAUUCAAUGCGACAUAAUCUGAUUCUAAUUCUGUGCUUCAUGAAUUUACGACUACCUGAUGGCAUUCACCCUUGACCACUGUUUUGCCAGUAACAAGAACCAUCAGAAUAAUAAAGAACAUCCUUUAAAUCAAGCUAACAAUUAUAAUAAUCUUGGUUUUGUAUUUGCUUUUUCUGUUUGUUUUACAAAUGUGCAAGCUGGUAAAAAAACAGAAAAUGCGGAGGUGACACAAAUAAACCCUAGUACAAAAGUUGCAUGGACACAGUAUGUGAACGAAUGCCACUGGUUUCUAAACAAAUGCGUAUGCUUGCACUUUUGUGUCGUAUUUUACCAUGCGUCUG
This is a long non-coding RNA of Pseudophryne corroboree (corroboree frog), 875 nucleotides long. RefSeq lists it as uncharacterized. The transcript has 3 exons. The record is from RefSeq and is a predicted model, not a curated record. Lineage: Eukaryota; Metazoa; Chordata; Amphibia; Anura; Myobatrachidae.